UUAAUGAGAAUAUAAAGCUAGGGUAAUGACCAAAGUUACUUCACAACCUCAGUAAUUGUGCUUUUGAGACAUUCAGCAACAGCCUGUCUGCAACAGAGUUAGUGCAUCAUGAUUGAUUCUCUGGCUUUUGUGUACACACAGUAGCUUUUAACCAGGAAAUAACAAAGUCUGUGCUUUGAAUAUUUGUUCAUUUUUAUAUUGGACACCUCCACUGACACAAAAACUUAUGCAAUCAGCAUUUUUUAAGUUGAUCAUUACUUUAAAAUUAUCAAAUGAAAAUUCAACACAUAGUGAUUUACAGUUGAACUAAUGUAUGAAAGUACUGAAGUUCGGGGUUGUGUAACAUACUUCCUACACUUUGUGCUGAAUCUAGCCCAAGAUCUUUUUUGGGCAAUAUUUCCUUUUAUCUGGGUCUGAUGGUGUAGCUACACUAAACUAUGUUACAGUGCAGUAAUGACUCAAAUAUUCUUCUCUGUCUUUAGUGUCCCGGAAAAAGUUCUUUGUCAUCUUGGCGGGAAAAACUGAUGAUGCUCAUCUUGAGUUUGUGGCAAAGCUUGAAAGCAUUGGCCAUACUGAGGUGAACUCCCCAGAAGAAAGUGACUACCUUCUGGUUUUCUGUCAUGUUGCUUCAAGAGUUGGAACAGACGUCAGCGAGGCCCUGGAGAAACUUCCAGGUGAUAAACCAGCAAUUCUGGUCGUGAUGCAUCACACCUUCAACCCUGACCAAGUUCUAGCUGAAAGCAGAAGACUAGUGGACAACCCCAAUGUUGAGCUUACUGUGGACUGUCUGUUCUAUGAGGGCAAACUCCUGAAGUCCAACAGAAAUGAUACUGCAUGGUUUGAUGUCCAGAAGUAUCUUGGAGUUUCCAAGGUAAUGACUAGAUUUACUGAUCUAAUACUAUCACACAAAUCCCGGGGGAGUGCACUGGUAUUGUGAUAAAAAGGGGUAAGGGAUCAUUACUGUAGUCCACCACUGAUGCAUCAUGCAGUUUCAUUAAUUAUUUUAUGUUCUUACUUUCUUUCUUUCUUUCUUUAGGUCUCCACUUUUCGAACCAUGUUCAAUAGUAAGUGUGACAUCAAUCAUGAACUUCAGAUUUCAGGUCAGAGUUUUUCUAGUCUAUCUUCUUCACUUUCCUUUGAAUUAAGGGAUAUUGAUGUUGGUAUUAUUAAUCUUAUAAUACCAAUCAUUUCUCGUUGCUGUAAUCACUUCUCCUGUCAAUGCUAGAUUUUAAUGUAAGUGAUGGGGAACAAAAUAAUUUAAUGAGAAUAUAAAGCUAGGGUAAUGACCAAAGUAACUUCACAACCUCAGUAAUUGUGCUUUUGAGACAUUCAGCAACAGCCUGUCUGCAACAGAGUUAGUACUUCAUGAUUGAUUAUCUGGCUUUUGUGUACACACAUUAGCUUUUAACCAGGAAAUAACAAAGUCUGUGCUUUGAAGAUUUGUUCAUUUUUAUAUUGGACACCUCCACUGACACAAAAACUUAUGCAAUCAGCAUUUUUUAAGUUGAUCAUUAUUUUAAAAUUAUCAAAUGAAAAUUCAACACAUAGUGAAUUACAGUUGAACUAAUGUAUGAAAGUUCUGAAGUUCGGGGUUGUGUAACAAACCAAUUUGUGCUGAAUCUAGCACAAGAUGUUUUUUGGGCAAUAUUUCCUUUUAUCUGGGUCUGAUGGUGUAGCUACACUAAACUAUGUUACAGUGCCGUAAUGACUCCAAUAUUCCUCAAUGUCUUUAGUGUCCCAGAAAAAGUUCUUUGUCUUCUUGGCGGGAAAAACUGAUGAUGCUCAUCUUGAGUUUGUGGCAAACCUUAAAAGCAUUGGUCAUACUGAGGUGAACUCUCCAGAAGAAAGUGACUACCUUCUGGUUUUCUGUCCUGUUGCUUCAAGAGUUGAAAGGGACGUCAACGAGGCCCUGGAAGACCUUCCAGGUAGGAAAUGGCUUUAUUUCACAAUGAUUAGUUAAAGGAAUAUGGGGAAAUUUGAUCCAUCAGUUGAAAAGUUUUUAAUUUUGAUUUGAAUUCAAUUUACCAUAGUGUUUGCUUUUGUACAGGUUCUAAUUGGACUUGCAGUGUCUCUAUUUUUAGCAGUUCCCUAAAAUUAAACUGUUAUAAAUGCAGGACUUGGCGUCCAUGUUUGAUGACACAUUUUUUUCAUCAAAUACAUUUUCCAUGUAAUGAGUGUU
RNAcentral lists this long non-coding RNA (2179 nucleotides) under Dicentrarchus labrax (European seabass). Its description in RNAcentral is "lncRNA (ENSDLAG00005033032.1)". The record is from RNAcentral. Lineage: Eukaryota; Metazoa; Chordata; Actinopteri; Moronidae.